Molecule: unclassified non-coding RNA, 374 nt
Filed under: Hevea brasiliensis (rubber tree)
Lineage: Eukaryota; Viridiplantae; Streptophyta; Magnoliopsida; Malpighiales; Euphorbiaceae
Source: RNAcentral
UUUCUCCUCCGAUCACAAUGACACCACCAACGCCGGCGGCGGCGAUUCAUUCUCCGUCAUCUCCCCAAUACACUCAACAAUUCUUAAGCAAUGUUCUCUCCCAACGAGGUCCUUCUUCUCUCCCUUACUCCGAAGACGUAAAAUGGCUAAUCCGUCAACACCUCGUUUCGUUGAUCGACACGUGUCCUUCUCUUCAACCUAGAACCGCUACUUUCACUUACAACGACGGCAGAACUGUGAAUCUCCUUCAGGCGAACGGCACAGUUCCGAUGGUCUAUCUAGAUGCAACCUACAACAUUCCGGUCAUUAUUUGGUUACUGGAAUCUUACCCUCGUCAAUCGCCGUUGGUAUUCGUGAACCCAACGCGUAAUAUG